AGAGUUUGAUCAUGGCUCAGGAUGAACGCUGGCGGCGUGCUUAACACAUGCAAGUCGAACGAGGUCCAACCUUCGGGUGAAGACCGAGUGGCGAACGGGUGAGUAACACGUGGGCAAUCUGCCCUCCACACUGGGAUAACUCAGGGAAACUUGAGCUAAUACCGGAUACUCCGUCGAGGUCGCAUGGCCAUGACGGGAAAGCUCCGGCGGUGGAGGAUGAGCCCGCGGCCCAUUAGCUUGUUGGCGGGGUAAUGGCCCACCAAGGCAACGAUGGGUAGCCGAGCUGAGAGGCUGAUCGGCCACACUGGGACUGAGACACGGCCCAGACUCCUACGGGAGGCAGCAGUGGGGAAUCUUGCGCAAUGGGCGAAAGCCUGACGCAGCAACGCCGCGUGCGGGAUGAAGGCUCUCGGGUCGUAAACCGCUUUCAGCAGGGAUGAAACUGACAGUACCUGCAGAAGAAGCCCCGGCUAAAUACGUGCCAGCAGCCGCGGUAAUACGUAUGGGGCAAGCGUUAUCCGGAUUCAUUGGGCGUAAAGAGCGCGUAGGCGGCUUGUUAAGUCAGAUGUGAAAACUGGGGGCUCAACCCGCAGCGUGCAUCUGAACUGGCAGGCUUGAGUCUGGUAGAGGAAAGUGGACUUCCCAGUGUAGCGGUGAAAUGCGCAGAUAUGGGAGGACACAGUGGCGAGCGCUUUCUGGGCCACGACUGACGCUGAGGCGCGAA
Molecule: ribosomal RNA, 724 nt
Filed under: uncultured bacterium
Lineage: Bacteria
Description: bacterial SSU rRNA
Rfam family: Bacterial small subunit ribosomal RNA
Source: RNAcentral